RNAcentral lists this ribosomal RNA (1188 nucleotides) under Triticum aestivum (bread wheat). RNAcentral's name for it is "partial small subunit ribosomal RNA". The record is from RNAcentral. Lineage: Eukaryota; Viridiplantae; Streptophyta; Magnoliopsida; Poales; Poaceae.
AUGGUGCCGGGGAAAUACCCUCGCCGCCGAUCCCAGAGGAGCUCCUGCUGGACAUCUUCCGCCGCAUUCCCGACCCAACCGACCUCGUCCUCACCUCCGCCGCCUGCGUCACAUUCCGCCGCCUCAUCGCCGACCGCUCCUUCCUCCGGCAGUACCGCAAGCUCCACGCCCCGCCCCUCCUCGGCUUCGUCGACGAAGACGAAGGCUUGCAGUUGCAUCCCGCCGAGCGGCCUUACCGCUCCGUACCGGCAGCCAGAGCCGUCGCCCGCGCCGGCGACUUCUCCUUCUCCUUCGUCCCCGCCCCCGCACCCCCCUCGCCGCUGGGUUGUCAUGGACAUUUCUGACGGCCGCGUCCUCCUCGGCGGAACCGACACUCAAUUUUUUAGCGGGCGCUUCUACAGAGAGAUGGUGGUGUGUGACCCGUUGCACCGGCAGUACCUCCUGCUUCCCCCAAUCCCUUACGACCUAAGCCAUUCGGUGAAGUAUUUCGGUGAUAAUUUCUGGGAAACUUUCCUCGUUCCCUGUGGCGAUGAGGCAGCAAUUGAUGAAGAGAGAUCAUUCAGAGUGAUCUGUAUGGUGCAGUGCAAAGUUAGGCUCAUGGCCUUUGUCUUCUCUUCCAGCACUAGACAAUGGCAAGCCAUUCCAACCCCGAGUUGGACCAAUUUGUUUCCUGGCUUGCUACCAUCACAAAGCAUGCCACUCUUCACAAAGCGAGAACGUGUGUUUGGCUGCUUUUACUGGCUGCCAAUGGUAUACAAAUCCAACAUGUUGGUGCUCGAUCCCCGCAGGAUGGAGUUCUUCAUUGCUGAACCCCCGCCCGAAGCCAAAGCUCUAAACGUUAGUAUUGCAACUAUGGUGGAGUCAGGAGAAGGCAGGCCCAGAAUGCUUACCUGGCAGAGUUCCACAUCUGGCCGCGAGUAUACCAUUUGGAGGAAACAUGGUGGGAGCUCCGGCCAAUGGCAGAAGGAGAAGAUAUUCACAAUCUCACCGAGGUACUACUUCACAAGUUCAGUGGGGGAGUACUUGCUCCUGGAACACUGCCGAGAACACUUCGGAAGUGCAUUGCUUGAGUUAAGCUUAUGCACGUUGGACAUUGAAACAAUACAGAUCAAGAGGGUGUGUGCUUUAACAUCGAAUGGCUGCGCAUAUAGCAACUACCCACCAUCGUUGUCGUCACCGACAGUAUGA